This 254-nucleotide ribosomal RNA is filed under the name uncultured bacterium. RNAcentral's name for it is "partial 16S ribosomal RNA". It matches the Rfam family "Bacterial small subunit ribosomal RNA", at positions 524 to 776 of the family's 1533-position model. The record is from RNAcentral.
UACGAACUGUGCGAACGUUAUUCGGAAUCACUGGGCUUACAGGGUGCGUAGGCGGCUUAGCAAGUCAGGUGUGAAAGCCCCCGGCUCAACCGGGGAACGUGCGCUUGGAACUGCUGAGCUCGAGUCAGCUAGAGGUACACGGAACUUCCAGUGGAGCGGUGAAAUGUGUUGAUAUUGGAAGGAACACCGGAGGCGAAAGCGGUGUACUGGGGCUGGUCUGACGCUGAGGCACGAAAGCCAGGGGAGCGAACGGG